This 389-nucleotide unclassified non-coding RNA is filed under the name Hevea brasiliensis (rubber tree). The record is from RNAcentral. Lineage: Eukaryota; Viridiplantae; Streptophyta; Magnoliopsida; Malpighiales; Euphorbiaceae.
GGCGACGCUGAACUUGGUCCAAGGCUUUAUGGGUACGGAAAUGCAUCCCUUUUGGUCCGGUCUGAACCGUUUUCCAAGUUUCAAGUCCCGUCACAGGUUGACUGGCCUAGGGUUUUGCAAAGGCAGCGAAACCUUCUCCAGAAUCAGCUUGACCCAUUUCAGGGAAGUGGACUUGGAUUUAGAGGUGGUGGAGUGGUGACAUUGUUAGAGAAUCUGGCGCAUUGUGAACCCCACAACCGUCUCUCCCGCUACCACUGAUGUGAAAAGGAAGCAAGUUGAGUUGACUUGCUUUGGUUGCUUUCUUAGUUUGUUUAGUUUUCUUCAUGUGGAUAUCUUGAUCAUGGGUUGAUUUUCUUAAUCUUGGCGCAAGUGGUGCUAAUAUGAGUAUU